UGCAAGUUUCAGGGAAGGUGAAAAUCCUUACUGGCGGUAACGGUACGACUGACGUUCAUAACGGUCCCAUGCCGAAGCCCGCGACCCGCGAAAGCGGCUGAUCCGGUGAGAAUCCGGAGCCAACGGUCAAAGUCCGGAUGGAAGAAACGGGGC
Molecule: non-coding RNA, 153 nt
Organism: Bifidobacterium pseudocatenulatum
Lineage: Bacteria; Bacillati; Actinomycetota; Actinomycetes; Bifidobacteriales; Bifidobacteriaceae
Source: Rfam